This is a long non-coding RNA of Centruroides sculpturatus (bark scorpion), 841 nucleotides long. RefSeq lists it as uncharacterized. NCBI's taxonomy places the organism in Eukaryota, Metazoa, Arthropoda, Arachnida, Scorpiones, Buthidae. The record is from RefSeq and is a predicted model, not a curated record. The transcript is spliced from 2 exons.
AUGCUGAAAACAUCAUAAAUGAUUUUUGAACUGCAUUAGAAGAUUUAAAAUUUAUAAUGCUCUACAGCAAAUUCUAAAAUGGAAUGAAAAAUUGGAGACCUGAAGUAGACUUAUAAUUAGGUUGAAAACAUUUGUCCAAAGUUACAUGAAAAAUUAAACUCCUGCUGGUUGGAAUAAAAGGUUUUUUGCCACUCAUAAUCUGAUCUAAUAUCCUACUAAUUAAGUAAAGUGAAAAACCUCUUGUUCUUAUGGCUGGGAAAAAGGAUGAAGUUUCGUCAAAGAAUAGCUUGGGUGAUGCUGUUUGGUUAUCUAGGUGUGACUGUUGUAACCAUUUAUUACUUGUUUGAACUUGCUGAUCAGUAUAACAUCCUUUCAUUAGAACAUACAAGAUUGUAUCACUCUAUAGAAAAUAAAAGAAUAGAUAAAAAGGAGACUUUAUUGAGCCAUUUACCAGACAUUCCUUAUGUAGUAUGGCUGUUAUUUGGGAUAUUAAUAUAUAUACAGAUUUUUUUUGUUCUUUAUGCUUGCACAAAACCCCAUCCAAAACAUUAUUUAAUAUCUUGUUUUUUAGUGAUUUGUAAAAAACAUGAUUAUGAUGCAACAAAAGAAGUUAAAAGCAACAAUGAGUUAAAAUCAGAGAAUUUGAUGUUAUCUAAUGGACAUAUAAAUCCAUUAAUAUUAUAAUGAUGAUUUUUGCAGUAUGCAUGAUUGUUAGGUAAAGAUAUUGAUUUAAAAACGGCACAACAGUUUAUGCUUUGUCUAUUGUAUAUAGUAUACAGCAUAAAUAAUGUAUUGAAUAUUUUCAUAGAAGCCAAAUAAAAGUAAAUGAAUGUUACAGUAA